CGCUCUCCCCAAAUCGGGACGCCACCACCGUCACCGGGUCACGCCGCCACCACCGCCCUCCCCAGAUCGCCCCACAACCACCGCCGCACUCCACGGUCACACCGCCACCGCCGCUCACUCCCCAAAUUGCGCUGCCACUGCCACCUCGUGCUUCAUCCUUUCUAUUACACCCCUGCUCCUCGACCACCGACGGCGACGCGCAUCCAUCCUCCUCUGCCCCCCACGACCUUCCUUCUCUGCUGCCAUGGCCUUCCUCCUCUCCCACCGCCGGCGUGAGAGCUACGCACGCCACCGCGCACUACCACCUUCCUCCUCCCGGCCGGCCUCCUGGCCCGGGCACCACUGUGCGGAGCAGUGCCACCACGCACAACCUAGUCAUCACUGUCGCCCCUCUUCCUCCAUGAUGUUGUUGCCCUCUUCCUCCAUGCUACUGCCACCUUCGAUCCAGUCCCCUGCGCCUGGCAGUCUCCGCAUUGAGCUACCCCGUGCACAUAAACUGUUUGUGUAUAUACCCCAAACAAAAAGAAGUUCAAAGUUUGAAUCAAAAGGGGGGAAAGAGCUCCAUUUUAUGAAGAAAACUGAAAAGCCAUUGUCACAGGGACAAUCAUGAAGGUCAGAUGUUGAAAAAGUCAGCCAUGCCAGAUACGAUGCUACCUGGGAAAUUGUGAUGCACCUUCGCUUGGUGCCGCCACAGGACCCAGUGCGCCUCCUGUCCUCUGCUUUUCUCUAUGCGCAGCAAUGUGUCUCACCCCGCCGAUUGCCCCUGCUGCUGCUGGGAACAGAGAUGUUCCAUGAAAUCCCACUACAUCUAUACGUCAUCUUCCGAGAUGUUCCGUGAAGUUCUACUACGGUUGUCCGUCACUAUGGUCAUGUGCCAGUAUGGUGUGCUUGGUUCAUGUGUGCCUUGAAAAGAUCAUGUUUACCUUGCUGGAUGUUGGCCAGCUCGCUCUUUGUGUGUGUUGCUGCUGCUCUAACCGCACAUGUAAGCGGCAGCUGCUUCACUCUCCGUGUAUUGAUUUCUCUUGCGCGCCAACGUUGCCGUCUCUCUAAUUGAUUCACAUUUGAUGCGGCGGUAAAGGGAGAUAUUUUGGAUUCCAACUUUUCCUUGUACGUUCAAGUCAGAAGUGAAAAGUAAUUGUAGCAAACUGAAAAAGAAAUGUAUUGUAUGCAUCCCCCACAUGUUUGUAAUAAACUAAAAAACAGAGUAGUUCAAAAAGUUUAAUAAAAAAGGUUUUCCCUGUUUCUAAAAAAA
Molecule: non-coding RNA, 1252 nt
Organism: Triticum urartu
Lineage: Eukaryota; Viridiplantae; Streptophyta; Magnoliopsida; Poales; Poaceae
Source: RefSeq, a predicted model, not a curated record